Molecule: ribosomal RNA, 433 nt
Filed under: uncultured bacterium
Lineage: Bacteria
Description: partial 16S ribosomal RNA
Rfam family: Bacterial small subunit ribosomal RNA
Source: RNAcentral
AACGAACGCUGGCGGCAUGCCUAACACAUGCAAGUCGAACGAGACCUUCGGGCCUAGUGGCGCACGGGUGCGUAACGCCUGGGAACCUACACUUAGGUUCGGAAUAACUCCCCGAAAGGGGUGCUAAUACCGGAUAAUGUCUUCGGACCAAAGAUUUAUCGCCUUUGGAUGGGCCCGCGUUGGAUUAGCUAGUUGGUAGGGUAAAAGCCUACCAAGGCGACGAUGCAUAGCUGGUCUGAGAGGAUGAUCAGCCACACUGGGACUGAGACACGGCCCAGACUCCUACGGGAGGCAGCAGUAGGGAAUAUUGGACGAUGGGCGAAAGCCUGAUCCAGCAAUGCCGCGUGAGUGAUGAAGGCCUUAGGGUUGUAAAGCUCUUUUACCCGGGAUGAUAAUGACAGUACCGGGUGAAGAAGCACCGGCUAACUCCGUG